UUCAUAAGGCCACAGCAGUGUGUGUGUAACUUGACUGCCUAGUGCUAACAUAAUUUAAAACAGAUUAAUUGCAGUUUUAUUCUGUGCUGCUGACUAGCUUACAGGGAAUCAAAGGUGACAUUUUCGAUAGGUAACAAGAAUACAAUGUAUACCCAAGAACCAAGAAAAAAUUUCUUAGAAUCUUCACAAAGGAUGGACAAGUCACCAUAAUUAAAGAGAACCAAAACCAGAGCCAGAUUAAUGUGGAGCAGGAUGGAAUGGACUUGUGAAUGAACACAUGUGAAGCUGAAACAUAGAUUGGAAACAAUCUGGUGAAAAAUGUACUUUGGCUUUUGUUAGAUCUUCCUACCUUAGGUUUUUCAGGGUAGACCCAUUGAAAUCAGUGGACAAGGUAGUGUAAUAUAGUAGAGCUUCACUGCAUUUACUCUGAAUAUAAUUUACUUGACUGUUUUAUUAGAUUUGUUUACCUAAUUUUUGUUUCUGACGUUCUCUGAAUAAUGCCGUAUGCCUAUGCCAGAGGCAGCCAACGCCAGAGGCAUCCAAUGCAGUGCAUUCCAGAUGUUUCUGAACUCCAGCUCCCAUAAUCUUUGACCACUGGCCAUGCUGGCUGAAGCUGAUGGGAGGUGUAGUCUCAUAACAUUUGGAUGGGAUCACAUUGGCUACUUCUGGCUUACCUUGCAUAAUUCCCAAAUUUCUUGCUAUGCUUCCUUCCUCAUCUUCUUCAAUAAAGUUUGUUUCGUUUUACUGGUUUGCAGCCCUGGUAGGAGCCUAUUAUGCUCUUUGCACCUCCCAUAUAUCUCAGGACUUCUCAGGUGCUAUCCUUUCUAACAAAGUCAAAGUGAUGAAUGCUGUCUGGUCAACUAGUUUAGAGCUUUGCCUCUCUCCGAGAUCAACUCCCACGCAGAUGGCAUAUUUUACAAAACAAGAUGAGUUACUCCUCAGUGGCUUGCACAAUAGAGUGAUGUCACCUUCAAAUUUAUUACCAAGUUGUUCACAACUUUAUUAUGUCUUUAUAAUUAAAGCGAGUAGUGGUAUACGCAUCAGAAGUACAAAAGAGAGCGUUCUGUCUUUGUUAAUUGACAGUUCUUCGGCAGUUCUUAUGGAAAAAUAGUUUUUAUGAUAACCAUUCUUUUUAACAGCUGUUUCCUCAUUUUGCACAUGUAAUCCUAAAAUCACUAGUACAAGAUUGUGCAAUUUAAACAGUAAUGAAAAUCUUGUAGCCAGCAUGGAUUAUAUUUGAAGACAAUCCCAUUCUACUCUUUGAGCUGACUAAUUUCACUGAAAAGGUCUUGUAAUGUGAUAUUUUGUAGAUGUAUUAAAAUUAUUAGGAAAAAAA
Molecule: long non-coding RNA, 1336 nt
Organism: Rhineura floridana
Lineage: Eukaryota; Metazoa; Chordata; Lepidosauria; Squamata; Rhineuridae
Exons: 3
Source: RefSeq, a predicted model, not a curated record